UGAAAAGCCCUUUGGCCUUAAACCGGAGAAAGUGCAUUCGGAAAGCUGGGGAGACUCUGAGUGCAAGAAGGAGGACCAGUGGAACCUCCCAUGUGUAGGCGGUGGAAAUGCGUAGAAUAUAUGGAAGAACCACCAGUGGCGAAGGCGGCUGUCUAGUCUGUAACUGACGCUGAGGCUCGACAGCAUGGGUAGCGAACAGGAUUAGAUACCCUGGUAGUCCAUGCCGUAAACGAUGAGUGCUAAGUGUUGGAGGGUUUCCGCCCUUCAGUGCUGCAGCUAACGCAUUAAGCACUCCGCCUGGGGAGUACGACCGCAAGGUUGAAACUCAAAGGAAUUGACGGGGGCCCGCACAAGCGGUGGAGCAUGUGGUUUAAUUCGAAGCUACGCGAAGAACCUUACCAGGUCUUGACAUCUUCUGCCAAUCUUAGAGAUAAGACGUUCCCUUCGGGGACAGAAUGACAGGUGGUGCAUGGUUGUCGUCAGCUCGUGUCGUGAGAUGUUGGGUUAAGUCCCGCAACGAGCGCAACCCUUAUUAUCAGUUGCCAGCAUUCAGUUGGGCACUCUGGUGAGACUGCCGGUGACAAACCGGAGGAAGGUGGGGAUGACGUCAAAUCAUCAUGCCCCUUAUGACCUGGGCUACACACGUGCUACAAUGGACGGUACAACGAGUUGCGAAGUCGUGAGGCUAAGCUAAUCUCUUAAAGCCGUUCUCAGUUCGGAUUGUAGGCUGCAACUCGCCUACAUGAAGUUGGAAUCGCUAGUAAUCGCGGAUCAGCAUGCCGCGGUGAAUACGUUCCCGGGCCUUGUACACACCGCCCGUCACACCAUGAGAGUUUGUAACACCCAAAGCCGGUGAGAUAACCUUCGGGAGUCAGCCGUCUAAGGUGAACAAAGAUGGGG
This 900-nucleotide ribosomal RNA is filed under the name Levilactobacillus brevis. Its description in RNAcentral is "bacterial SSU rRNA". It matches the Rfam family "Bacterial small subunit ribosomal RNA", at positions 593 to 1479 of the family's 1533-position model. The record is from RNAcentral. Lineage: Bacteria; Bacillati; Bacillota; Bacilli; Lactobacillales; Lactobacillaceae.